AGCAUCCUCCUCUCAAGAGAAUGAUUGGUUAUUUAACCCCACGAAAGAAACCCUCAUAUUCCACCCUGCCUGGGGCCCCUCUAUAAUAUCCCCGCUCCCCGGCCACGAUCACAAAGCAUGAAAAUCUGUGACUGAUACACCCAGCGGUAUGCUCAUUAAUCGAGAAAGAGUGUGGCUCCCAUUUGCUUCCCCGAUAAAAUUCUGAGGUGCUUUACAAAGACUUUCAAAACGCCAACCUGGAUGGAGUGAAGAAACAGAAUCAAUGAACAGUGGGCGUGUGAGGGGUUUGCAGGAUUUUGGGGGGGCCUCUUCUCUCUCUGAGGGGAGGAUGCGAUGAGGUAGGGCAGCUAGCUGCAAGCUCCUGGCAGGAAUUCAAGGGCGAUGAACGCAGACAAGGAAACAUAGAUGCAUCGAGGAGGCAGCCAAACAUCUCCAUAUGUCACUUUUCCAGUACAUUUGAGUUAAAAUGGCUGUGGAGUAUGUGGCCAAGUAGAUUAUGCUAGGGCUGCACGGGGAAGAGGGAGAUUGUUUUCUUGCAUGUGACCAAAGCCAGACGUGGACCAAUGCACGUGUGCAGACGAUGCCUGAAUCAAGCAAUGUCGAACAAAAGCCAAGCCCAAAGAUGGAGGUGGGGGCUCUCACCAGACAGAGGUGCUCCAUCAUCAGCACCGGCCACACAAAGCAAGUCUGUGGAAUGCCAGGCCAUGACCGUUGAGAAACAGUCCAGGCCAGUGAGACAGCGUGGUGGGACUCACCGCCAAGCCUGACGAUUUGUCUUCCGUCCCUGGGAUCAACAUGGUGGAGAGAGAGAGAGAGCCAACAAUACGUAAACAAAUAAGCACAAUAAAAAUCCCAAUCAAUAAAAGUGUCAU
Molecule: long non-coding RNA, 872 nt
Organism: Peromyscus californicus insignis
Lineage: Eukaryota; Metazoa; Chordata; Mammalia; Rodentia; Cricetidae
Exons: 3
Source: RefSeq, a predicted model, not a curated record